RNAcentral lists this ribosomal RNA (253 nucleotides) under uncultured bacterium. Its description in RNAcentral is "partial 16S ribosomal RNA". It matches the Rfam family "Bacterial small subunit ribosomal RNA", at positions 524 to 776 of the family's 1533-position model. The record is from RNAcentral.
UACGUAGGGUGCGAGCGUUGUCCGGAAUUAUUGGGCGUAAAGGGCUCGUAGGCGGUUUGUCGCGUCGGGAGUGAAAACCUUGGGCUUAACUCAGGGCUUGCUUUCGAUACGGGCAGACUAGAGGUAUGCAGGGGAGAACGGAAUUCCUGGUGUAGCGGUGAAAUGCGCAGAUAUCAGGAGGAACACCGGUGGCGAAGGCGGUUCUCUGGGCCACACCUGACGCUGAGACGCGAAAGCUAGGGGAGCGAACAGG